RNAcentral lists this ribosomal RNA (471 nucleotides) under Triticum aestivum (bread wheat). Its description in RNAcentral is "partial small subunit ribosomal RNA". The record is from RNAcentral. Lineage: Eukaryota; Viridiplantae; Streptophyta; Magnoliopsida; Poales; Poaceae.
AGCUCAACUCUGCGGAGGAACAACACUAGAAAUAAGGCGCAGAAGGAAACCAGAAAGGGCAAAGCACAAGAAAGUGUGAAAAUAACAAGCCACACACUGGAGUAUAACGUUUUGUUAGAUUUCAAGUCCAUCAAACCACUGUCAUCAGGGCUGAUCAUACCUCUAAAUAGAAAGAAAUGUAAACCUUUGGAUUCAAUGAUCUUGCUAAAGGAUACAAAUGUGUCUUUUCUUAAAUGUAAGGGGAACGAUGUAUGCAAAGAGUGUGACAUCAUACACCUUCAGGUGGGUCCACCUCCAGCCACACAAGUAUUAUUUCUAAUGGACGAAGAACUACAUCUUCAGUUUAAGUAUCUGUUCAAGCGGAUGAUGGUUAAUGUACGAGGGAUAGACAUUAACGUCUCCGUAUCUAUGCUCAUGGAUAGUAAUGUUUCAGUCGCUGGAGAGCUUGCUGAACAGAUGAAGUUGACGUAA